RNAcentral lists this ribosomal RNA (465 nucleotides) under uncultured bacterium. Its description in RNAcentral is "partial 16S ribosomal RNA". It matches the Rfam family "Bacterial small subunit ribosomal RNA", at positions 28 to 507 of the family's 1533-position model. The record is from RNAcentral.
GACGAACGCUGGCGGCGUGCUUAACACAUGCAAGUCGAACGGAAAGGCCCUGCUUGCAGGGUACUCGAGUGGCGAACGGGUGAGUAACACGUGGGUGAUCUGCCCUGCACUUCGGGAUAAGCUUGGGAAACUGGGUCUAAUACCGGAUAGGAACCAUCUUUAGUGUGGUGGUUGGAAAGUUUUUUCGGUGUAGGAUGAGCUCGCGGCCUAUCAGCUUGUUGGUGGGGUAAUGGCCUACCAAGGCGGCGACGGGUAGCCGGCCUGAGAGGGUGUACGGCCACAUUGGGACUGAGAUACGGCCCAGACUCCUACGGGAGGCAGCAGUGGGGAAUAUUGCACAAUGGGCGCAAGCCUGAUGCAGCGACGCCGCGUGGGGGAUGAAGGCCUUCGGGUUGUAAACUCCUUUCGCUAGGGACGAAGCUUUUUGUGACGGUACCUAGAUAAGAAGCACCGGCUAACUACGUA